RNAcentral lists this ribosomal RNA (841 nucleotides) under uncultured Gammaproteobacteria bacterium. RNAcentral describes it as "bacterial SSU rRNA". It matches the Rfam family "Bacterial small subunit ribosomal RNA", at positions 54 to 874 of the family's 1533-position model. Lineage: Bacteria; Pseudomonadati; Pseudomonadota; Gammaproteobacteria. The record is from RNAcentral.
CAUGCAAGUCGAGCGGUAACAGACAUAAAGAUUCAGCUUGCUGAAUCUGGUGCUGACGAGCGGCGAACGGGUGAGUAACGCGUAGGAAUCUACCCAGUAGCGGGGGAUAGCCCGGGGAAACCCGGAUUAAUACCGCAUACGCCCUAAGGGGGAAAGGGGGCAGCUUGCUGCUCUCACUAUUGGAUGAGCCUGCGUAAGAUUAGCUUGUUGGUGGGGUAAAGGCCUACCAAGGCAACGAUCUUUAGCUGGUCUGAGAGGACGAUCAGCCACAUUGGGACUGAGACACGGCCCAGACAUCUACGGAUGGCAGCAGUUAAGAAUAUUGGACAAUGGGGGCAACCCUGAUCCAGGUAUACCGCGUGUGUGAAGAAGGCCCUAGGGUUGUAAAGCACUUUAAUCAGUGAAGAAGCAUUUUAGAUUAAUACCCUAAUUUGUUGACGUUACCUGAAGAAUAAGGACCGGCUAACUCCGUGCCAGCAGCCGCGGUAAUACGGAGGGUCCAAGCGUUAAUCGGAAUUACUGGGCGUAAAGCGCGCGUAGGCGGUUUAGCAAGUUGAAUGUGAAAGCCCUGGGCUCAACCUAGGAACUGCAUUCAAAACUACUAAGCUAGAGUACGAGAGAGGAGAGUAGAAUUUCUGGUGUAGCGGUGAAAUGCGUAGAUAUCAGAAGGAAUACCAAUGGCGAAGGCAGCUCUCUGGCUCGUCACUGACGCUAAGGUGCGAAAGCGUGGGUAGCAAACAGGAUUAGAUACCCUGGUAGUCCACGCCGUAAACGAUGAGAACUAGCCGUUGGAUAGAUUUAACUGUUCAGUGGCACAGCUAACGCAUUAAGUUCUCCGCCU